Molecule: ribosomal RNA, 514 nt
Filed under: uncultured bacterium
Lineage: Bacteria
Description: partial 16S ribosomal RNA
Rfam family: Bacterial small subunit ribosomal RNA
Source: RNAcentral
GAUGAACGCUGGCGGCGUGCCUAAUACAUGCAAGUCGAGCGAACAGAUGAGAAGCUUGCUUCUCUGAUGUUAGCGGCGGACGGGUGAGUAACACGUGGGUAACCUACCUAUAAGACUGGGAUAACUCCGGGAAACCGGGGCUAAUACCGGAUAGUUCCUUGAACCGCAUGGUUCAAGGAUGAAAGACGGUUUCGGCUGUCACUUACAGAUGGACCCGCGGCGCAUUGGCUAGUUGGUGUGGUAAUGGCUCACCAAGGCGACGAUGCGUAGCCGGCCUGAGAGGGUGAUCGGCCACACUGGGACUGAGACACGGCCCAGACUCCUAAGGGAGGCAGCAGUAGGGAAUCUUCCGCAAUGGACGAGAGUCUGACGGAGCAACGCCGCGUGAGUGAUGAAGGUUUUCGGAUCGUAAAGCUCUGUUGUUAGGGAAGAACAAGUGCGAGAGUAACUGCUCGCACCUUGACGGUACCUAACCAGAAAGCCACGGCUAACUACGUGCCAGCCGCCGCUGUAA